This 120-nucleotide non-coding RNA is filed under the name human gut metagenome. RNAcentral's name for it is "FMN riboswitch (RFN element)". It matches the Rfam family "FMN riboswitch aptamer (RFN element)". From Rfam's summary of the family: The RFN element is a highly conserved domain that is found frequently in the 5'-untranslated regions of prokaryotic mRNAs that encode for flavin mononucleotide (FMN) biosynthesis and transport proteins. This element is a metabolite-dependent riboswitch that directly binds FMN in the absence of proteins. In Bacillus subtilis, the riboswitch most likely controls gene expression by causing premature transcription termination within the 5' untranslated region of the ribDEAHT operon and precluding access to the ribosome-binding site of ypaA mRNA. The record is from RNAcentral.
UUCUUCGGGGCGGGGUGUGAUUCCCCACCGGCGGUAUAGUCCGCGACCUGCCAUAGUUUUUUAUGACAGCUGAUCUGGUGUAAUUCCAGAACCGACAGUAUAGUCUGGAUGAGAGAAGGA